Molecule: long non-coding RNA, 1119 nt
Organism: Trematomus bernacchii (emerald rockcod)
Lineage: Eukaryota; Metazoa; Chordata; Actinopteri; Perciformes; Nototheniidae
Exons: 3
Source: RefSeq, a predicted model, not a curated record
GUGAAGCGAACCCUCCGGAUCCUGAACGGGCGUAAGGUCUCCUUCCUGUGUGGAGACGCAGGCCCUCUGGCUGUGGGAGCCGUGGUUCAUCACAAGCUGAGGAACACUGAGGAGAGCCAGGACUGCCUGAACAGAGUUCAGUCCUCAGUGACUCUGAUGAACUCCUGUACGGUCGCGCUGGCUUCCUGUUCGCUCUGCUGUACGUCAACAGAGAGAUGGGAGAGAACACGGUGGAGGAGAGCACCAUCACUCAGAACUGAUCUCCGUUUGGACACAACUGUCAUCCCUCUGUAGAUUCUACGCAGCCCGGAGGCAAUCUUUUUCACCGUCCCACCAGCGAGGCGGCGGCGGAAGGAGAGGAGACAGAAGCGUGGUAAGUGAGCCGGGCUAAGGUCUAGGCUAAAGGCUAACCCGUACAGACCGGCGCUUCCGAUCAUCACAGAGAUCUGGCUGAACCACAACAUCUACACAAACAUUCCAGGGGCAUUUAAAGCAACAUAAUCCCCACAUCUUGGACAAUCUGACCACAUCUCACUAAUUAUGAUUCCAGCUUACAAACCACAUAUCUGCAAAACAAAACCAGCUAUCAGGACAGUACAAGUGUGGUCUGAGGAAGCCACCUCAUUGCUGCAAGACUGUUUUGAACACACAGACUGGGAUUUGUUUGCUGAGGGGUUAGAUCUUGGGGAAUACAGCAGCUGCGGCGCCAGGAUUUAAAUUUUGGGUGGGCCAAUGUAAUUUCGGCUGGGCCUGUUCUAACAGAUGUUUCUCGUUAACAAAAAUAAAAUGUAAAGAAAUGCCUGCAUAUCAUUGUAGGCAACUGUGUAAUGCAUAUUUCCUAUAGUAAAGACACUUUUUCUAAACCCUUCUCUUUUAAACAUUUUCACUUAUAAGAAGCUUAAAUAUUAUUUAAAUAAUUAAAGGUGGGGUAGGUAAGUUUGAGAAACCGGCUCGAGAUAAUCUUUUAUGCCCUUUCCCUGUUAGGUUCUGCAGACAGUCCCAGAUUUGUUUAUGAUUUGUGACAUGUUAACCAUUAUUUAUACAGCUUAUCUACACAUAUGCUGACCAGCUGCUGCUGGUAGUGCCCAAAACCAGGCUCAAAACCCGAGGGCACCGAGC